CAAGAGGUAGUUUAAUUAAAAUAUUAAUUUUGGGGAUUAAUGAUGAAAAUAUUUUUCUGUCUUGA
RNAcentral lists this transfer RNA (65 nucleotides) under Cephalopina titillator. RNAcentral describes it as "tRNA-Pro". The record is from RNAcentral. Lineage: Eukaryota; Metazoa; Arthropoda; Insecta; Diptera; Oestridae.